This 301-nucleotide ribosomal RNA is filed under the name uncultured bacterium. Its description in RNAcentral is "partial 16S ribosomal RNA". It matches the Rfam family "Bacterial small subunit ribosomal RNA", at positions 509 to 807 of the family's 1533-position model. The record is from RNAcentral.
CAGCCGCCGCGGGAAUACGAAGGGUGCAAGCGUUAAUCGGAAUUACUGGGCGUAAAGCGUGCGUAGGCGGUUUGUUAAGUCUGUUGUGAAAUCCCCGGGCUCAACCUGGGAAUGGCAAUGGAUACUGGCAAGCUAGAGUGUGUCAGAGGAUGGUGGAAUUCCCGGUGUAGCGGUGAAAUGCGUAGAGAUCGGGAGGAACAUCAGUGGCAAAGGCGGCCAUCUGGGACAACACUGACGCUGAGGCACGAAAGCGUGGGGAGCAAACAGGAUUAGAUACCCGCGUAGUCCCUGUCUCUUAUAC